Molecule: ribosomal RNA, 1441 nt
Filed under: uncultured Methanosarcinales archaeon
Lineage: Archaea; Methanobacteriati; Methanobacteriota; Methanomicrobia; Methanosarcinales
Description: bacterial SSU rRNA
Rfam family: Archaeal small subunit ribosomal RNA
Source: RNAcentral
UUCCGGUUGAUCCUGCCGGAGGUCACUGCUAUCGGGGUCCGACUAAGCCAUGCGAGUUGUGUGUUCUUCGUGAGCACGGCAGACUGCUCAGUAACACGUGGACAACCUGCCCUUAGGUCUGGGAUAACCCCGGGAAACUGGGGAUAAUACCAGAUAGAUCAUAGAUGCUGGAAUGCCCUUUGAUCCAAAGUUCAGGCGCCUAAGGAUGGGUCUGCGGUCUAUCAGGUUGUAGUGGGUGUAAUGUACCUACUAGCCGACGACGGAUACGGGUUGUGAGAGCAAGAGCCCGGAGAUGGAUUCUGAGACACGAAUCCAGGCCCUACGGGGUGCAGCAGGCGCGAAAACUUUACAAUGCACGAAAGUGCGAUAAGGGGACCCCGAGUGUUGGUGCCUAGCAUCAACUGUCCAACUGUCUAAAAAACAGUUAUUAGCAAGAGCCGGGCAAGACCGGUGCCAGCCGCCGCGGUAAAACCGGCGGCUCGAGUGGUGACCACUAUUAUUGGGUCUAAAGGGUUCGUAGCCGGCUUAGUAAGUUUCUUGGGAAAUCUGGCGGCUUAACCGUCAGGCUGCCGAGGGAUACUGUUAGGCUUGAGACCGGGAGGGGCUAGAGGUACCUCAGGGGUAGGGGUGAAAUCCUGUGAUCCCUGUGAGACCGCCAGUAGCGAAGGCGUCUAGCUAGAACGGAUCUGACGGUGAUGAACGAAAGCUAGGGGCACGAACCGGAUUAGAUACCCGGGUAGUCCUAGCCGUACGAUGCGAGCUAGGUGUCACAGUAGCUGCGAGCUACUGUGGUGCCGUAGGGUAGCCAUGAAGCUCGCCACCUGGGAAGUACGGCCGCAAGGCUGAAACUUAAAGGAAUUGGCGGGGGAGCACCACGACGGGUGGAGCCUGCGGUUCAAUUGGACUCAACGCCGAAAAGCUCACCGGGAGCGACAGCAGAAUGAAGGCCAGGCUGAAGACCUUGCUAGACUAGCUGAGAGGAGGUGCAUGGCCGUCGUCAGUUCGUACUGUGAAGCAUCCUGUUAAGUCAGGCAACGAGCGAGACCCGCGCCCACAGUUGCCAGCAAUCCCUCCGGGGAGAUGGGUACACUAUGGGGACCGCCUCUGCUAAAGAGGAGGAAGGAACGGGCAACGGUAGGUCAGCAUGCCCCGAAUCUCCCGGGCUACACGCGGGCUACAAUGGUCGGGACAAUGGGAAUCGACACCGAGAGGUGAAGGCAAUCUCCUAAACCCGAUCGUAGUUCGGAUUGGGGGCUGAAACUCGCCCCCAUGAAGAUGGAAUCCGUAGUAAUCGCGUCUCAAAAUGUCGCGGUGAAUACGUCCCUGCUCCUUGCACACACCGCCCGUCAAACCACCCGAGUGAGGUCUGGGUGAGGCUGCCUCUCAUUGGGGCAUUCGAACUUGGGUUUCGCAAGGGGGGUUAAGUCGUAACAAGGUAACC